RNAcentral lists this ribosomal RNA (253 nucleotides) under uncultured bacterium. RNAcentral's name for it is "partial 16S ribosomal RNA". It matches the Rfam family "Bacterial small subunit ribosomal RNA", at positions 524 to 776 of the family's 1533-position model. The record is from RNAcentral.
UACGGAGGGGGCGAGCGUUAUUCGGAAUUAUUGGGCGUAAAGGGCGCGUAGGCGGCUUGAUGUGUCAAAGGUGAAAUCCCUCGGCUCAACUGAGGAACUGCCUUUGAAACUGUCUGGCUUGAGGCCGGGAGAGGGUAGCGGAAUUCCCAGUGUAGCGGUGAAAUGCGUAGAUACUGGGAGGAACACCGGUGGCGAAGGCGGCUACCUGGACCGGUUCUGACGCUGAUGCGCGAAAGCGUGGGGAGCGAACGGG